Molecule: non-coding RNA, 112 nt
Organism: Acanthosepion pharaonis
Lineage: Eukaryota; Metazoa; Mollusca; Cephalopoda; Sepiida; Sepiidae
Source: the annotation of a GenBank genome assembly
UACGGCCAUAUAACUUGUAAACACCGGUUCUCGUAUGAUCACCGAAGUAAAGCAAAAUCUGGCCUGGUUUGCACACAGAUGGAUGGCUGCUUGGGAAUAUCACGUAUUGUUA